CACGUAGGCGGCGUGGUAAGUCAGAUGUGAAAUUUCGGGGCUCAACUCCGAAGCUGCAUUUGAAACUACUAUGCUAGAGGUUGGGCGGAGAAAGAGGAAUUCCAAGUGUAGCGGUGAAAUGCGUAGAUAUUUGGAAGAACACCUGUGGCGAAAGCGUCUUUCUAGCUCAAUCCUGACGCUGAGGUGCGAGAGCAAGGGGAGCAAACA
This 207-nucleotide ribosomal RNA is filed under the name uncultured bacterium. RNAcentral describes it as "partial 16S ribosomal RNA". It matches the Rfam family "Bacterial small subunit ribosomal RNA", at positions 568 to 774 of the family's 1533-position model. The record is from RNAcentral.